AGAUGUAAGGGAGAUCUGGCUGUGACAUGUGUCACCCCAUUGAUUGCCAGGGUUGAUUCGGCUGAUCUGGCUGGCUAGGUGGGUGUCCUCUUCCUCCCUCACCGCCCCAUGUGCGUCUCUCCCGAAGCUACGUGCUCGGUCCAAGAGGACAGCCUUCCCCGAAAAGAGACGGACUGGUCUUCGGUAGAGGGUAUAGGAGUAGCUGCUCUCUUCUGCUAGAACCUCCAAACAAGCUCUCAAGGUUCUAGAGAGAACCUACCACCCACCUGGAAUGACCACUACAUCUGCAUUUUAUGAGGGCCAGGUCCAAAGU
Molecule: unclassified non-coding RNA, 313 nt
Organism: Erinaceus europaeus (western European hedgehog)
Lineage: Eukaryota; Metazoa; Chordata; Mammalia; Eulipotyphla; Erinaceidae
Gene: 7SK
Rfam family: 7SK RNA
About the family: 7SK was discovered as an abundant small nuclear RNA in the mid-70s but a possible function has only recently been suggested. Two independent studies have found that 7SK RNA binds the CDK9/cyclin T complex (known as elongation factor P-TEFb).
Source: Ensembl